AUGCAAGUCGACGGUAACAGCGGAGCUUGCUUCCGGCUGACAAGUGGCGGACGGGUGAGUAACGCGUGGGAAUCUGCCUACUAGCGGGGGAUAGCCCGGAGAAAUCCGGAUUAAUACCGCAUACGCCCUACGGGGGAAAGCUGGGGAUCUUCGGACCUGGCACUAGUAGAUGAGCCCGCGUUGGAUUAGCUUGUUGGUGGGGUAAUGGCCUACCAAGGCGACGAUCCAUAGCUGUUCUGAGAGGAAGAUCAGCCACACUGGGACUGAGACACGGCCCAGACUCCUACGGGAGGCAGCAGUGGGGAAUAUUGCACAAUGGGCGCAAGCCUGAUGCAGCAAUACCGCGUGUGUGAAGAAGGCCCGAGGGUUGUAAAGCACUUUCAAUCGUGAAGAAAAGCUCAGGGUUAAUAACCCUGGGUCUUGACAUUAUCGAUACAAGAAGCACCGGCUAACUCCGUGCCAGCAGCCGCGGUAAUACG
RNAcentral lists this ribosomal RNA (479 nucleotides) under uncultured bacterium. RNAcentral describes it as "bacterial SSU rRNA". It matches the Rfam family "Bacterial small subunit ribosomal RNA", at positions 55 to 527 of the family's 1533-position model. The record is from RNAcentral.